This 468-nucleotide ribosomal RNA is filed under the name uncultured bacterium. Its description in RNAcentral is "partial 16S ribosomal RNA". It matches the Rfam family "Bacterial small subunit ribosomal RNA", at positions 28 to 507 of the family's 1533-position model. The record is from RNAcentral.
GACGAACGCUGGCGGCGUGCUUAACACAUGCAAGUCGAACGGAAAGGCCCUGCUUUUGUGGGGUGCUCGAGUGGCGAACGGGUGAGUAACACGUGAGUAACCUGCCCUUGACUUUGGGAUAACUUCAGGAAACUGGGGCUAAUACCGGAUAGGAGCUCCUGCUGCAUGGUGGGGGUUGGAAAGUUUCGGCGGUUGGGGAUGGACUCACGGCUUAUCAGCUUGUUGGUGGGGUAGUGGCUUACCAAGGCUUUGACGGGUGGCCGGCCUGAGAGGGUGACCGGCCACAUUGGGACUGGGAUACGGCCCAGACUCCUACGGGAGGCAGCAGUGGGGAAUAUUGCACAAUGGGCGGAAGCCGGAUGCAGCAACGCCGCGUGCGGGAUGACGGCCUUCGGGUUGUAAACCGCUUUCGCCUGUGACGAAGCGUGAGUGACGGUAAUGGGUAAAGAAGCACCGGCUAACUACGUG